RNAcentral lists this long non-coding RNA (542 nucleotides) under Homo sapiens (human). RNAcentral's name for it is "long intergenic non-protein coding RNA 592". The record is from RNAcentral. Lineage: Eukaryota; Metazoa; Chordata; Mammalia; Primates; Hominidae.
GGGUGGUUCUGCAGAGGCCCCAGGGACCUGUAGGCAGGUGGAGAGGGGAUGGGGGAGGUCUCAGGUCCUCUUGCUCACCCAUCAGCUGUGUAGUGUCUGAAGUGAUUAAGGAGCUUGGGGAGGCCUCCCAGGCUGGUCUGCUCCACUGGCCCUCAGAAAGACUUGUCGCCUCGCCGAGCCUCAGUGUUCUCAUCUGAAGAAUAGAGUGGGCAAGGCCUUUCUCCUACACACUCAGAAUGCUGGAAGCCAAGCUUGCACAUUCUAGGCAGCCAUUUGGAAGAUUCUUCUCUGCGCAUGACCAGCUGAAAAGGAAAAACCCCGAAACAUUGGCACUGUGAUUUCUCCAUGUGAACAGUUUAGUUCGCCGAGGUGGACAUGCCUCAUUCAUGCUUAUGGAGUGACCGACCAGCCUUUAGUGACACCCCCUGAAAUGUGAGUCAUCCAUGGGUCACUAGUCAUUGGAGAAGAGCCCCUUAUACAAAACUUGGAGCUCAGACCACAAACAACAACAACAAUCCAAAAAAUAAAAAAAUGAAAAAUUA